RNAcentral lists this ribosomal RNA (419 nucleotides) under uncultured bacterium. RNAcentral describes it as "partial 16S ribosomal RNA". It matches the Rfam family "Bacterial small subunit ribosomal RNA", at positions 360 to 776 of the family's 1533-position model. The record is from RNAcentral.
AAUAUUGGUCAAUGGAGGCAACUCUGAACUAGCCACGUCGCGUGAAGGAUGACGGCCCUACGGGUUGUAAUCUUCUUUUAUACAGGAAUAAAGUGAGCCACGUGUGACUUUUUGCAUGUACUGUAUGAAUAAGUAUCGACUAAAUCCGUGCCAGAAGCCGCGGUAAUACGGAGGAUUCAAGCGUUAUCCGGAUUUAUUGGGUUUAAAGGGUGCGCAGGCAGAAGAUUAAGUCGGCGGUGAAAUUUUGCAGCUCAACUGUAAAAGUGCCAUCGAUACUGGUUUUCUUGAGUGUGGAUGAAGUAGGCGGAAUUUGUGGUGUAGCGGUGAAAUGCAUAGAUAUCACGAGGAACUCCGAUUGCGCAGGCAGCUUACUAGGCCAUAACUGACGCUCAGGCACGAAGGCGUGGGGAUCAAACAGG